RNAcentral lists this ribosomal RNA (462 nucleotides) under uncultured bacterium. RNAcentral describes it as "partial 16S ribosomal RNA". It matches the Rfam family "Bacterial small subunit ribosomal RNA", at positions 29 to 507 of the family's 1533-position model. The record is from RNAcentral.
AGUGAACGCUGGCGGCGUGCCUAAUACAUGCAAGUCGAACGGAGAGUAAGUAGCUUGCUAUUUAAUCUUAGUGGCGCACGGGUGUGUAAUAUAUAGCUAACUUGCCCAUUACUAAGGGACAACAGUUGGAAACGACUGCUAAUACCUUAUACUCCGUAUCUAUAUAAGUAGAUACGGGAAAGUUUUUCGGUAAUGGAUAGGGCUAUAUCGUAUCAGCUAGUUGGUAAGGUAAUGGCUUACCAAGGCUAUGACGCGUAACUGGUCUGAGAGGAUGAUCAGUCACACUGGAACUGAGACACGGUCCAGACUCCUUCGGGAGGCAGCAGUAGGGAAUAUUGCUCAAUGGGGGAAACCAUGAAGCAGCAACGCCGCGUGGAGGAUGACAAUUUUCGGAGCGUAAACUCCUUUUCUUGGGAAAGAAUUAUGACGGUACCCAAGGAAUAAGCACCGGCUAACUCCGUG